RNAcentral lists this ribosomal RNA (551 nucleotides) under uncultured Flavobacteriaceae bacterium. RNAcentral describes it as "bacterial SSU rRNA". It matches the Rfam family "Bacterial small subunit ribosomal RNA", at positions 9 to 553 of the family's 1533-position model. Lineage: Bacteria; Pseudomonadati; Bacteroidota; Flavobacteriia; Flavobacteriales; Flavobacteriaceae. The record is from RNAcentral.
UAGUUUGAUCCUGGCUCAGGAUGAACGCUAGCGGGAGGCCUAACACAUGCAAGUCGAGGGGUAACGGAAGUAGCUUGCUACUAGACGACGACCGGCGCACGGGUGAGUAACGCGUAUGUAAUCUGCCUUGUACAGAGGGAUAGCCCAGAGAAAUUUGGAUUAAUACCUCAUAGUAUUAUCGAAUCGCAUGAUUUGGUAAUUAAAGCUCCGGCGGUACAAGAUGAACAUGCGUGACAUUAGCUAGUUGGUAAGGUAACGGCUUACCAAGGCCACGAUGUCUAGGGGUUCUGAGAGGAUGAUCCCCCACACUGGUACUGAGACACGGACCAGACUCCUACGGGAGGCAGCAGUGAGGAAUAUUGGUCAAUGGACGCAAGUCUGAACCAGCCAUCCCGCGUGAAGGAUGACUGCCCUAUGGGUUGUAAACUUCUUUUAUAUGCAAAUAAACCUGCUUUCGUGAAAGUAGCUGAAGGUAGCAUAUGAAUAAACACCGGCUAACUCCGUGCCAGCAGCCGCGGUAAUACGGAGGGUGUAAGCGUUAUCCGGAUUUA